UCCGUAGGGGUAACCUGCGGAGGGAUCAUUACCGAGUGAGGGCGCGAGCCCGACCUCCAACCCCAUGUCUCCCAAACCAUGUUGCCUCGGGGGCGACCCGGCCGCGCGCCGGGGCCCCCCGCGGACCCCUCAACUCUGCAUCUGUGCGUCUGAGUAACGAAAUAAAUCAAUCAAAACUUUCAACAACGGAUCUCUUGGUUCUGGCAUCGAUGAAGAACGCAGCGAAAUGCGAUAAGUAAUGUGAAUUGCAGAAUUCAGUGAAUCAUCGAAUCUUUGAACGCACAUUGCGCCCUCUGGUAUUCCGGAGGGCAUGCCUGUUCGAGCGUCAUUACACCACUCCAGCCUCGCUGGGUAUUGGGCGCCGCGGCCUCCGCGCGCCUCGAAGUCUCCGGCCGAGCCGACCGUCUCCAAGCGUUGUGGCACAACUGUUUCGCUUCUGGGACCGGUCCGGCGCCGCGCCGCUAAACCCUUUCACCAAAGGUUGACCUCGGAUCAGGUAGGGAUACCCGCUGAACUUAAGCAUAUCAAUAAGCGGAGGA
RNAcentral lists this ribosomal RNA (539 nucleotides) under Teratosphaeria pluritubularis. RNAcentral's name for it is "eukaryotic LSU rRNA". The stretch from base 175 to 328 matches the Rfam family "5.8S ribosomal RNA". Lineage: Eukaryota; Fungi; Ascomycota; Dothideomycetes; Mycosphaerellales; Teratosphaeriaceae. The record is from RNAcentral.